This 301-nucleotide ribosomal RNA is filed under the name uncultured bacterium. RNAcentral describes it as "partial 16S ribosomal RNA". It matches the Rfam family "Bacterial small subunit ribosomal RNA", at positions 509 to 809 of the family's 1533-position model. The record is from RNAcentral.
CAGUCGCCACGGUAAUACGUAGGUGGCAAGCGUUGUCCGGAAUUAUUGGGCGUAAAGGGCUCGCAGGCGGCUUCUUAAGUCUGAUGUGAAAGCCCCCGGCUCAACCGGGGAGGGUCAUUGGAAACUGGGAAACUUGAGUGCAGAAGAGGAGAGUGGAAUUCCACGUGUAGCGGUGAAGUGCGUAGAGAUGUGGAGGAACACCAGUGGCGAAGGCGACUCUCUGGUCUGUAACUGACGCUGAGGAGCGAAAGCGUGGGGAGCGAACAGGAUUAGAUACCCCCGUAGUCCCUGUCUCUUAUAA